This 910-nucleotide ribosomal RNA is filed under the name Bipolaris panici-miliacei. RNAcentral's name for it is "LSU rRNA". It matches the Rfam family "Eukaryotic large subunit ribosomal RNA", at positions 36 to 964 of the family's 3401-position model. Lineage: Eukaryota; Fungi; Ascomycota; Dothideomycetes; Pleosporales; Pleosporaceae. The record is from RNAcentral. RNAcentral also lists the same sequence under 1 other name.
UAGCAUAUCAAUAAGCGGAGGAAAAGAAACCAACAGGGAUUGCCCUAGUAACGGCGAGUGAAGCGGCAACAGCUCAAAUUUGAAAUCUGGCUCUUUCAGAGUCCGAGUUGUAAUUUGCAGAGGGCGCUUUGGCUUUGGCAGCGGUCCAAGUUCCUUGGAACAGGACGUCACAGAGGGUGAGAAUCCCGUACGUGGUCGCUAGCUAUUGCCGUGUAAAGCCCCUUCGACGAGUCGAGUUGUUUGGGAAUGCAGCUCUAAAUGGGAGGUAAAUUUCUUCUAAAGCUAAAUAUUGGCCAGAGACCGAUAGCGCACAAGUAGAGUGAUCGAAAGAUGAAAAGCACUUUGGAAAGAGAGUCAAACAGCACGUGAAAUUGUUGAAAGGGAAGCGCUUGCAGCCAGACUUGCUUGCAGUUGCUCAUCCGGGCUUUUGCCCGGUGCACUCUUCUGUAGGCAGGCCAGCAUCAGUUUGGGCGGUGGGAUAAAGGUCUCUGUCACGUACCUCUCUUCGGGGAGGCCUUAUAGGGGAGACGACAUACCACCAGCCUGGACUGAGGUCCGCGCAUCUGCUAGGAUGCUGGCGUAAUGGCUGUAAGCGGCCCGUCUUGAAACACGGACCAAGGAGUCUAACAUCUAUGCGAGUGUUUGGGUGUCAAGCCCGAGCGCGUAAUGAAAGUGAACGGAGGUGGGAACCCGCAAGGGUGCACCAUCGACCGAUCCUGAAGUUUACGGAAGGAUUUGAGUAAGAGCAUGGCUGUUGGGACCCGAAAGAUGGUGAACUAUGCUUGAAUAGGGUGAAGCCAGAGGAAACUCUGGUGGAGGCUCGCAGCGGUUCUGACGUGCAAAUCGAUCGUCAAAUUUGGGCAUAGGGGCGAAAGACUAAUCGAACUAUCUAGUAGCUGGUUCCUGCCGA